Molecule: long non-coding RNA, 416 nt
Organism: Pogoniulus pusillus (Red-fronted tinkerbird)
Lineage: Eukaryota; Metazoa; Chordata; Aves; Piciformes; Lybiidae
Exons: 3
Source: RefSeq, a predicted model, not a curated record
AAAGCCGCGGAAAAAAGGCGGAUUGGCCGGAUCGAGGAUGCAGCGGAUAGCAAGCAGAGGCUCCUCUGGGUGUGGAGCCUGAAAAAGCUGGAGGUGCAGAGAUUCAGACUGGACGUGAGGAGGAAGUUCUUCAGCAUGAGAGUGCUCCCAGACUAAACUGCAAGAAGGGAAUCUGGAGAGCUCUGUUUUGGUGUCUGGCAGAGAUCUGAACACUCAAGAAACCUUUUGAAUAAUGCAUUGCUUUCCUGGCUGGCUUGAAUAUCAGCUUCCCUACUCUCCAGCAGGCUGGAGAGGCUCUUCUUAAAUGUUGUACUGCAAAACCAAGUGUGAGAGGACACAAGAUCCUUGGCUGACAGGCAGAAGAUCCUUUCAGCUGCCUUGCUGGGGUAUCUCAACUAGGAGCAGCUGUUGAUCUG